AUACGUAGGGGGCAAGCGUUAUCCGGAUUCAUUGGGCGUAAAGCGCGCGUAGGCGGCCUAUUUGGUCGGGAGUUAAAACCGGGGGCUCAACCCCCGUCCGCUUCCGAUACCGGUAGGCUUGAGUCUGGUAGGGGAAGGUGGAAUUCCCAGUGUAGCGGUGGAAUGCGCAGAUAUUGGGAAGAACACCGGUGGCGAAGGCGACCUUCUGGGCCAUGACUGACGCUGAGGCGCGAAAGCUAGGGGAGCGAACAGGAUUAGAUACCCUGGUAGUCCUAGCCGUAAACGAUGGACACUAGGUGUGGGAGGGUGUUCCUUCCGUGCCGCAGCUAACGCAUUAAGUGUCCCGCCUGGGGAGUACGGCCGCAAGGCUAAA
This 373-nucleotide ribosomal RNA is filed under the name uncultured bacterium. RNAcentral's name for it is "bacterial SSU rRNA". It matches the Rfam family "Bacterial small subunit ribosomal RNA", at positions 523 to 898 of the family's 1533-position model. The record is from RNAcentral.